Molecule: ribosomal RNA, 421 nt
Filed under: uncultured fungus
Lineage: Eukaryota; Fungi
Description: eukaryotic LSU rRNA
Rfam family: Eukaryotic large subunit ribosomal RNA
Source: RNAcentral
GGCCUCGGAUCAGGUAGGGAUACCCGCUGAACUUAAGCAUAUCAAUAAGCGGAGGAAAAGAAACCAACAGGGAUUGCCUUAGUAACGGCGAGUGAAGCGGCAAAAGCUCAAAUUCGAAAUCUGGUCUUUUAGGCCCGAGUUGUAAUUUGUAGAGGAAUAUUCGGCAAUGUCAUUGGUAUAAGUUUCCUGGAACGGAACGUCUUGGAGGGUGAGAACCCCGUAUAUUACUGAAUGACAACGCUAUGUGAAUAUCCUUCGAAGAGUCGAGUUGUUUGGGAAUGCAGCUCAAAAUGGGUGGUAAAUUCCAUCUAAAGCUAAAUAUUGGCCAGAGACCGAUAGUGCACAAGUAGAGUGAUCGAAAGAUGAAAAGCACUUUGGAAAGAGAGUGAAACAGUACGUGAAAUUGUUGAAAGGGAAGCGC